AGUGGUCCAUCAGAAAAGGCAGAGCCUGUUCAGGUUUUUUGGAAAAGUGAGAAGAAAUUAAUUCAGCAAAUUAAUGAUGGGAGCACAACAAAGAGUUUCAGUUUCGGUCCGGCUUUCUACUCAAGCAUACAAGAGUGUUCGCUGCUGAAGAAACCAAUCAAGUUUACCAGGACAUCGCAAAGCCAUUGGUUGUUUCAACUGUGGGAGGAUACAAUGGCAUCCUCCGGAAAGACGUUCACAAUGAUGGGGAGUGAUCAUGUUCCUGGUGCCGUCCCACUGGUUGUUGAUGACGUCUUUGAAACUAUAAAAAAGUGUCCAAAGAAGGAGUUUCUUCUCAGAGUGUCUUAGGCGUAGAAA
Long non-coding RNA from Hippocampus comes (tiger tail seahorse), 357 nucleotides. RefSeq lists it as uncharacterized. The record is from RefSeq and is a predicted model, not a curated record. The transcript is spliced from 4 exons. Lineage: Eukaryota; Metazoa; Chordata; Actinopteri; Syngnathiformes; Syngnathidae.